UGUCAUCCAACAGCUCAGUUGGUAGAGCAUAAAACUCUUAAUCUCAGGGUCGUGGGUUUGAGCCCCAAGUUGGGCAA
Molecule: non-coding RNA, 77 nt
Organism: Podarcis lilfordi (Lilford's wall lizard)
Lineage: Eukaryota; Metazoa; Chordata; Lepidosauria; Squamata; Lacertidae
Source: the annotation of a GenBank genome assembly